AGGCAACUGAACUUAGACUUGGUUUACCUAGUUCUGAGUCACCACCAAAUGGGGUUUUGGAAAAUUUCCCUUCUGGUGCUAAAAGGGGUUUUCUUGACACAUGGGGUUUUGGAUCUGAAGUUAGAUUUUGCUAAAAAUAGUGGCCUAGACCAGUGGAAGAGAAAAGAGCAGUUCUUUCUAGUACUAAUGGGCAGUGGCGGAGUCGGACUUUUGGUUAAGGGUGUUCAUAUUUUUUCUUGGGCAAAGAACUGUUUAAAAAAUAAAGAAAAUAAACCACUAAUGCACUUGACAAGGUUUGAACCCGAGUUGUUGAUGCGAAAAUGCAUACUCUUGACUACUGGAUUAUGCUUCUCUAGCUUGUUAAGGGUGUGCAACAAUAUGCAUAUAAUCAUAAAUAUCUAUAUUUAACCUAUAUACUGAAAAAAAUUUUCCGACGAAGGGUGUUCAUCUGACCACCCUUCGUCGGCUGUGGCUCCGCCCUUGCUAAUGGGCAUGGGGUUGCUCCAGCUGCAAAGUAAUCUUUCCAACUUACCCUUUAGUCAUAAGUUGAAAAUUUGGAGUUGUGUUUGGGCCUAUCGGCUGUUUCUUGUACUUCGAUCGUUAUAUUAUUUUUCUCCUGUGUGUUGUAGUUUUGUUGUGUGCUUUUAUAUUUAUUGUUUUGUUAUACGGUUAUUUGUCAUGAGCCAGGAUCUAUUGAAAACAACCUCUCUACUUCAUCUGAGGUAAUGGUAUGAACUGCAUACAUUUUACCCUCCCAGACCCCACUUUGUGGGGAAGUGGGAAUACACUGGUUAUGUUGUUGUUGUUGUUUCUCAGAAUGGUUUGUUAUGCUUUCACUUCUGUUUAUUCCUUUUGUUGGUCUGUUUUUCCUUGAGUCGAUCGUUAUAAGUAUUUAGUUCUUAUUUGGUCAUAAAUUUAGAGGUUGAAACUUGAAACUUAAAAAUUUGAGUUUUUGAAAGUGUUUUAGAGGGUUGUGUUAGAUUACAUAGGCAUAUCAAAGGGAAACUCUGAUGAAAAGAGCUGUGUCUCCACUAUGGAAAGUAAAGAUUUGAACUUUAAAGCAAAUGAACUUAGCCUUGGCAAGAGGGCCUUCGAUUGGUCCAAUUGUCAAACCAAUUGGCAAGCGGGCCUUCGAUUGGUCCCAUUAAUGUCAACUCCUAAAAAUAGUUGGCAAGAGGGCCUUCGAUUGGUCCAAUUGUCAAACCAAAAGUUGACAUUGCCUAUCCAGUAAUUUACCUUUAGGUUAAUAAUAGAUCCAAUGAGUCUCUUUGUUUUUUUCAUUACCUAGCUAUAAGCUUACACUUCUUGAUGAAUUUCCCGAUAACUAACUGAGUUCCAAUCAUGCCAUACCAAACAUUCUAGCAAAAUCAAAGUUUAGCCCCUAAUAUUUAGACCAAGACUUGUACAAGUGUCUUUUUGGUUGAUAAGUGAAGAAAGCUGCAAGUAUAUUGACUUCUCUUAUUGGUAAGUAAUACUACUGCAAGGAUUUUUAUCCAUCUAUAGGCCAUUACUUUUGCAGAUUUUGUGCUUGUGAUUAAGAGGAGGAAAGGAUCACCUUUUUUUCCCUCAUCACGAAAGAAACUAUGCUUCUAUUGAACCUAAGUUUAUGUCUUAAUCUCUUUGGUAUUGCUGUUGUUGAUGGUUUAGUUGCAUAUUGUUCCUACCUCUUCUCUUCUGUGCUUGCCAUUGCUCUUGUUCUUUAGGUUUGUCAUGCUCCCCUGUUUGAUCCUUACCAUUCUCAGGAACCUAGUUCUCUUGAGUUAAAGUUUGAUUAUUGUUGUGGUCCUGAUUUCCUUGCACCUGAGACUUACUGUUCUCCCUUUUGGCCUCAUCAUCCCUCCUCUUCUCCCUUUCUUCUUGUUUUUUUCCUUCUUUUGGCCUCAUCAUCCCUCCUCUUAAACAGUACAAGCCAAAAGUCACAUGACCUUGGUGUUUGCAAUAACAGAAGUAAGCAACACUGCCCCCAGCUUUCAUUUUCAUUCAUAUCUGAACUUUUAACUUUAGCAACACUGCCCCAUUGUGUCCUUUUAUGUCGCUUGAUCUAAGAAUAGAGCUUUACCAAUAAGAGACAACAAACAUGUGAGUAAUAAAUAGAAAGCUGAUAAUUUGCAGCAACACUGCCCCCAGCCCUCAUUUUCUACUCAUAUCUGAACUUUUAACUUUAUCAACACACUGCCCCCAUUGUGUCCUUUUAAAUGGCUUGAUUAAGAGAAGACAAAAAAUGUGUGAGUAGUAAAUAGAAAGCUGAAAAAUUGCACUUUCAAAGCUGGCACGCCAAUUGAAAGAUCACGUGAGAGGGUGGAAUGUGAUCCAACAACUCGAAGAGGACAUGAAGGGAUGGAAUAUAAUCCGUCAACUAAAAAAUGACGUACGCGAGUUGAAUAAAACAAAGCUUUGGAUAUAUUCCUCUAGUGGUGGAUUCGGAGGAACAGCGGGUGCCAUCAUCUACAGUUACACUGAUUGGUUGGGUAAACGGAGGGACAGUAAUAGGCGCUUCAACCAUGUCUCAGUAAAGACUCGCCUGAUAGCACUUGUAACACAGGCUAAAGUAUUGUGAGAAAAUUCACCAUGAGAUCGACGCCAAUUCCUCCAAGAGCAUCACCGGAUCGACUGUUGCUAUACCCGAGAUCAUGACUAAAACAAACCCCGAGAAGCCGAGCUCUGUUGCUGGACCCGAGAUCGUCUCCAAAGCCAACCCCGAGAAGCCGAGCACUGCUGCUAGCCCCGAGAGCAGCAGUGGGCCGAGCACUAGCGUUUAGGAGGCGUAAACUUCUCGGCUGUGGCAGUUUCUAAGUAGAGGGUUUUAGGAUUAAUUAGGUUUUUGUGAGAGUAACAAACAUAUAUUUACUUCAAAAAAUCUGGUCUACUUGUCGGUAGUUCUGUUAUUAUAUCACAAAAAACAUAUAUUUACUAUAUAGUCAGGAAGGGAAGAUUAUCAAUCCGUUUUGAAUAUUCUUCGUAGUAUAAUAUUUCUUACUUGGAUUCAAUUAGUGCUA
RNA transcript from Capsicum annuum, 2996 nucleotides. RefSeq lists it as uncharacterized. The transcript has 2 exons. The record is from RefSeq and is a predicted model, not a curated record. Lineage: Eukaryota; Viridiplantae; Streptophyta; Magnoliopsida; Solanales; Solanaceae.